ACCCGCUGAACUUAAGCAUAUCAAUAAGCGGAGGAAAAGAAACCAACAGGGAUUGCCUCAGUAACGGCGAGUGAAGCGGCAAUAGCUCAGAUUUGAAAUCUGGCCCCCCAUCAGGGGUCCGAGUUGUAAUCUGCAGAGGAUGCUUCGGCGUUGGCGCCGGCCUAAGUCCCUUGGAACAGGGCGUCGCAGAGGGUGAGAAUCCCGUACGCGGCCGGUCGCCCUCGCCGUGUGAAGCUCCUUCGACGAGUCGAGUUGUUUGGGAAUGCAGCUCUAAACGGGAGGUAUAUUUCUUCUAAAGCUAAAUACCGGCCAGAGACCGAUAGCGCACAAGUAGAGUGAUCGAAAGAUGAAAAGCACUUUGGAAAGAGAGUUAAAAAGCACGUGAAAUUGUUGAAAGGGAAGCGCUUGCGACCAGACUUGCCCGCGGGCGGCUUAUCCGAGCCUCUGGCUCGGUGCACUCCCCCGCGGUCAGGCCAGCAUCAGUUCGAGCGACCGGAUAAAGGCCCCGGGAAUGUAGCUCCUCUCGGGGAGUGUUAUAGCCCGGGGUGCAAUGCGGCCAGCUCGGACUGAGGACCGCGCCCCGGCUAGGAUGCUGGCGUAAUGGUCGUCAGCGACCCGUCUUGAAACACGG
This 631-nucleotide ribosomal RNA is filed under the name uncultured fungus. RNAcentral's name for it is "LSU rRNA". It matches the Rfam family "Eukaryotic large subunit ribosomal RNA", at positions 23 to 664 of the family's 3401-position model. The record is from RNAcentral. Lineage: Eukaryota; Fungi.